Molecule: ribosomal RNA, 555 nt
Filed under: uncultured fungus
Lineage: Eukaryota; Fungi
Description: eukaryotic LSU rRNA
Rfam family: Eukaryotic large subunit ribosomal RNA
Source: RNAcentral
ACAGGGAUUGCCCUAGUAACGGCGAGUGAAGCGGCAACAGCUCAAAUUUGAAAUCUGGCCCUCGGGUCCGAAUUGUAAUUUGUAGAGGAUGCUUUUGGUACGGUACUUUCCGAGUUUCCUGGAACGGGACGCCUUAGAGGGUGAGAGCCCCGUACGGUUGGAUACCAAACCUUUGUAUAGCUCCUUCGACGAGUCGAGUAGUUUGGGAAUGCUGCUCUAAAUGGGAGGUAAAUUUCUUCUAAAGCUAAAUACCGGCCAGAGACCGAUAGCGCACAAGUAGAGUGAUCGAAAGAUGAAAAGCACUUUGAAAAGAGGGUUAAAUAGCACGUGAAAUUGUUGAAAGGGAAGCGUUUAUGACCAGACUUUUUCCAAGCGGAUCAUCCGGUGUUCUCACCGGUGCACUUCGCUUGGUCGAGGCCAGCAUCGGUUUCUGUAGGGGGAUAAAAGCUCUGGGAAUGUGGCUCCUUCGGGAGUGUUAUAGCCCUCUGCAUAAUACCUUUACGGGGACCGAGGACCGCGCUUUUGCAAGGAUGCUGGCAUAAUGGUCGUCAACGA